This 77-nucleotide transfer RNA is filed under the name Clostridium sp. RNAcentral's name for it is "tRNA-Glu". It matches the Rfam family "tRNA". From Rfam's summary of the family: Transfer RNA (tRNA) molecules are approximately 80 nucleotides in length. Their secondary structure includes four short double-helical elements and three loops (D, anti-codon, and T loops). Lineage: Bacteria; Bacillati; Bacillota; Clostridia; Eubacteriales; Clostridiaceae. RNAcentral also lists the same sequence under 5 other names. The record is from RNAcentral.
GGCCCGUUGGUGAAGUGGUUCAACACACAUGCCUUUCACGCAUGCAUUCAUGGGUUCAAAUCCCGUACGGGUCACCA